ACAACAUUGACCGAGGCUGUCUUUGCUUGGCAGGCGGCGAGUAAGGACGUGGCGCCCUUGGUCCGUAAUAUUUUCCCCUAAAAUUGAAGUCUUUAUUAUAUCAGCUUGAUAAAACAUCUUAUUACAAAUGGCAACCGAGGAAAACAAAACCCACAGUGGCAAUUGGAGUGUGAUGAGUGAAACUGCCUUAGCUAAGAACUUUCCGCUGCACCGGGCGUGUCGUGACGGGGAUGUGGCUGCACUCGCCGCCCUGCUGCAGCAGGACGCCACACACCGCCACCUCACACUUGAGGACACCUACUAUGGCUGGACACCUACACAUUGGGCUGCCUACUUCGGCAAGCUGGAGUGCCUGAAGGUGCUGGUGGAGAGCAGUGGAAGUAUGCACGCAGGAAUGACAACAUCAAGAUUCACCCAGACACCAGCACACAUUGCAGCAUUUGCCGGCCAUCCUCAUUGUCUUAUGUGGCUGCUCCAGACAGGACUAAAUGUCAACACACAGGACUAUCUUGGAGAGACAUCGCUUCACAAGGCAGCUCGGACGGGGUCUAUGGAGUGUGUCACUGUCUUGUUGGGCAGUAAGGUUCUGAUAGGAAUUUUGAACAACAAUGGUCAGACAGCAGCCCAACUUGCAAAUGCAUGUGGCUACAGUGACUUGGCAAACUACUUACUGCAGGCUGAAGGAAAACAAGCUAAUGGUGAGCACAAUGGUUUCAUCAGUUGUAGUGUGCCAAGCCAUGGCCUUAAUGGAGGAGUCUUCCCACACAGCACUGAAAUGGGACAGCUCAAUGGAACUCAUAAGGCAGAUACCCCCAAUAAUGGCUUCAUAUCUGCAUCUAAUCACAUGAGUACAAAUAGUUCUGUCACUGGUAGCAAUUCUACCUUCACUUCUUCCAAUGGUUAUUAUGGCUUUCAGCCAACAAACAAUCCUGCAAAUGAAAGUAUGAAUGGCCAUGGAAAUAUUGCUUCUAAGUCUCAUAAUCAAGAAUCUGAAGACUGUGAAAUGGAAACCGAUGCAAAUCCAGUUGAUUCUCAGAAUGGAAAAGACAACACCAUGGAACCUGUCUUGAACAAUUACAUGAAAUCCUCUUCCCAGAAUGGAUUUUGUAAUGGAAAUAUUCCUAAAGCCAUGUCUACAUACACAAAUGGCAGCAAACAAAAUGGAUCCAGAGAAGUAGCUAAUGGUCAUAGAGCCAAGAUAGGUUUUGUUAGUGUAAGUCCUGUUAACCAGACAAGCUUUGUGCAUAAGACUCUUCCUCCAAUGGAACAAGAUAUCACUUUGAAUGAUGGAGUAUCCAAAAAUUAUAUUCCUAUUGCUGGUUGCAAGAGAUCAAGAGAAGAUGUAUAUGUUCCAGAAAUGAAGAGGAUGAAAACUGAUGGCUCACAGUGUCCUCAACCUUUAAUGAAGACUUUUACAAAAUCACCACCCAGUUUACCCUGCCAUAUUAGACCUCCAUUUUCUGAUAUAACAAAUCAUUCACCUGAUCCAUUUGGGGAACAUUUGAGGAAUGCAUCCUACAGUCACAUGGAAAGUAAAACCUGUAGGCAAGAAUGUAAUGAAGAAGAAACAAACACUGAAGUGGAGAUAACUAUGGAAGAUUCAGAGAAUGAUGUGCAAGACAGCAAUAUAGAACUAAUCAGAACAAAAGCUCAUGAUGAAGAAACUGUUGAGCUCUGUCAGGAGAUGCUUCGGGAAACUCAUGGCUGUGAACCCUACUUGUAUUUUUCAUGAGCAAAACUAAAAGCUCUGACCAAUGAAAAUUAGACAAACAUUGCAGCUGUAUGAGUAGUUAAGAUGGAUUACCUGUGAAGAAGCUGCAGCAGCACCACAGCCAGGUCCAAGCCCCUGCUACCAUGACAGUCUCCUCCUCCAUGGUGGACCACUUUUUAACUGUCAAAAUGGAGGACGGUUAUGAGGCAAUCAACUUUGAG
This 1932-nucleotide unclassified non-coding RNA is filed under the name Portunus trituberculatus (swimming crab). Its description in RNAcentral is "ankyrin repeat domain-containing protein 10-like, transcript variant X6". Lineage: Eukaryota; Metazoa; Arthropoda; Malacostraca; Decapoda; Portunidae. The record is from RNAcentral.